CUCAGGACGAACGCUGGCGGUAUGCUUAACACAUGCAAGUCGAACGAGACGAGAUGGAAGGAUCCUUCGGGUGACGGAAAUCUUAGAAAGUGGCGAACGGGUGAGUAACGCGUGGGUAACCUGCCCUAUGGAAAGGAAUAGCCUCGGGAAACUGGGAGUAAUGCCUUAUAAUACAUUGAAGUCGCAUGGCCUUGAUGUUAAACGCUCCGGUGCCAUAGGAUGGACCCGCGUCCCAUUAGCUAGUUGGUGAGAUAACAGCCCACCAAGGCGACGAGUGGGUAACCGGUCUGAGAGGGCGAACGGUCACACUGGAACUGAGACACGGUCCAGACCUCCGUACGGGAGGCAGCAGGUGGGGAAUUAUUGCGACCAAGUCGGGGGAAACCCUGACGCAGCAAUACCGCGUGAGUGAAGUAAGGUUUUCGGAUACGUAAAGCUCUGUUAGUUGGGGAAAGAAAAAAGACGGUACCCAGGAAGAAAGUCCCGGCUAACUACGUGCCAGCCGCCGC
Molecule: ribosomal RNA, 509 nt
Filed under: uncultured bacterium
Lineage: Bacteria
Description: bacterial SSU rRNA
Rfam family: Bacterial small subunit ribosomal RNA
Source: RNAcentral